Molecule: long non-coding RNA, 353 nt
Organism: Symphalangus syndactylus (siamang)
Lineage: Eukaryota; Metazoa; Chordata; Mammalia; Primates; Hylobatidae
Source: RefSeq, a predicted model, not a curated record
ACGUAAGGCAUGAACAUGUUAUUUCAGGUGUCAAGGUAAUGAAAUCAAUAGCCAAAAGCUCGUACUAAUUCAGUAUUAUUGAAGACAGAGCAUCUUAUCACAGCAUUUGAAUAGGUGUAAACUGUGUCUGAUCCUCUUCCUUGAGUGAGAUGGAAAAAAAUUAAUUUGCUGCAUCAGUGGCCAUAUCCCAGAUGAGAACAGUGAGGAAUCUCUGAAGCUAGAAGACAGAAGGGAAGAUGGAACAUAAAACAGCAAAGCCGCGGACAUAUGAGCCCUACAGGUGGGAGAAAAGCCCUCCCACAGAACUUCUGAUUAAUUCCUAUCCCAGAAUUCAGGAGGCCCUGGGAAAGAGU